RNAcentral lists this ribosomal RNA (444 nucleotides) under uncultured bacterium. RNAcentral describes it as "partial 16S ribosomal RNA". It matches the Rfam family "Bacterial small subunit ribosomal RNA", at positions 338 to 795 of the family's 1533-position model. The record is from RNAcentral.
CCUACGGGAGGCAGCAGUGGGGAAUAUUGGGCAAUGGAGGCAACUCUUAUCCAGCAAUGCCGCGUGAAUGAAGAAGGUCUUCGGAUUGUAAAGUUCUGUAAUUGGGGACGAAAAAAAUGACGGUACCCAAGAAAUAAGCCCCGGCUAACUACGUGCCAGCAGCCGCGGUAAUACGUAGGGGGCAAGUGUUAGUCGGGAUGACUGGGCGUAAAGGGUGUGUAGGCGGUGUAGCAAGUUAGAAGGAAAAUACCUAGGGCUUAACUCAGGUGCUGCUUCUAAAACUGCUAUACUUGAGUGCAGUAGAGGAAGGUGGAAUUCCUAGUGUAGCGGUGGAAUGCGUAGAUAUUAGGAGGAACAUCAGUGGCGAAGGCGACUUUCUGGACUGUAACUGACGCUGAGGCACGAAAGUGUGGGGAGCAAACAGGAUUAGAUACCCUAGUAGUC